Molecule: transfer RNA, 42 nt
Filed under: Aneides lugubris
Lineage: Eukaryota; Metazoa; Chordata; Amphibia; Caudata; Plethodontidae
Description: partial tRNA-His
Source: RNAcentral
GUGUAUAUAAUUUAAAUAAAAUAUUAAAGUGUGACUUUAAUU